AGAAUCAACGCUGGCGGCGUGCCUAACACAUGCAAGUCGCACGAGAAAGGGGCUUCGGCUCUGAGUAAAGUGGCGCACGGGUGAGUAACACGUGAAUUAUCUACCUCCGAGUGGGGAAUAAACUGAGAGAAAUCUUAGCUAAUACCGCAUAACACUUACGAGUCAAAGCAGCAAUGCGCUUGGAGAGGAGUUCGCGGCCGAUUAGUUAGUUGGUGGGUAAUGGCCCACCAAGACGAUGAUCGGUA
Molecule: ribosomal RNA, 245 nt
Filed under: uncultured bacterium
Lineage: Bacteria
Description: partial small subunit ribosomal RNA
Rfam family: Bacterial small subunit ribosomal RNA
Source: RNAcentral